AGAGUUUGAUCCUGGCUCAGAUUGAACGCUGGCGGCAGGCCUAACACAUGCAAGUCGAGCGGAUGAGAAGAGCUUGCUCUUCGAUUCAGCGGCGGACGGGUGAGUAAUACCUAGGAAUCUGCCUGGUAGUGGGGGACAACGUUUCGAAAGGAACGCUAAUACCGCAUACGUUCUACGGGAGAAAGCAGGGGACCUUCGGGCCUUGCGCUAUCAGAUGAGCCUAGGUCGGAUUAGCUAGUUGGUGAGGUAAUGGCUCACCAAGGCGACGAUCCGUAACUGGUCUGAGAGGAUGAUCAGUCACACUGGAACUGAGACACGGUCCAGACUCCUACGGGAGGCAGCAGUGGGGAAUAUUGGACAAUGGGCGAAAGCCUGAUCCAGCCAUGCCGCGUGUGUGAAGAAGGUCUUCGGAUUGUAAAGCACUUUAAGUUGGGAGGAGGGGCAGUAAGCUAAUACCUUGCUGUUUUGACGUU
This 473-nucleotide ribosomal RNA is filed under the name uncultured bacterium. RNAcentral describes it as "bacterial SSU rRNA". It matches the Rfam family "Bacterial small subunit ribosomal RNA", at positions 8 to 476 of the family's 1533-position model. The record is from RNAcentral.